UCCAGCAGUUGUCAGCUGUCUUCUCAGUACCGUGUCUGUAACAGUAAUGCACUGCUGGGAGAGAAAGAUACUACAUUUAACCUGUCUGUCAUUGUCCUCGUUUUGAAGGCAGUGAAAACAGUGUGUGGCAAUACGCUGCUCUGAGAGUGUGCUGAGCAGCUGCCAUCCCGUUCAGCACUAGAAUGGAAGCAUACACA
Small nucleolar RNA from Sphaerodactylus townsendi, 197 nucleotides. RefSeq annotates it as small nucleolar RNA SNORA74. Lineage: Eukaryota; Metazoa; Chordata; Lepidosauria; Squamata; Sphaerodactylidae. The record is from RefSeq and is a predicted model, not a curated record. The transcript has a single exon.